CCUUCAUCCUCAUAUUCUUCGUCAUCCUCAAAGUCUUCAUCCUCAAGAUCAUCAUCUGCAGCAGCUCCACUCUUAAACAACAUUACAGAUAAAAACACUGAAUGGUGUUGUUUAACAACCCAUGCAAUUCAACAUUGUCCCAGCUAAGUAAGUUUUGAGGAUAUCCCCGCACUCCACCAACCUCCUCGAGUGUCCCCGUGUGCUCGUCCUGCUCCUCCUCAAACGAGCUCCAGUUGCCGACCGGACCAUCCAGCGGGGGCAUGAUCGGGAUCGCGUCCGGGCUGAUGCCGUCGGCUGUGAUGUGAUGGCUGAGGAAAUGGUCUUCGCAUAUCCGAUGAAGAUCUGUGAUUUCGCGCUCAGUGUCCCG
Molecule: long non-coding RNA, 367 nt
Filed under: Danio rerio (zebrafish)
Lineage: Eukaryota; Metazoa; Chordata; Actinopteri; Cypriniformes; Danionidae
Description: si:ch211-195d17.5 (ENSDARG00000097857.2)
Source: RNAcentral